CAGGCUGCAACCCGCCUGUAUGAAGUUGGAAUCGCUAGUAAUCGCGGAUCAGCAUGCCGCGGUGAAUACGUUCCCGGGCCUUGUACACACCGCCCGUCACACCAUGAGAGUCGGGAACACCCGAAGUCCGUAGCCUAACCGCAAGGGGGGCGCGGCCGAAGGUGGGUUCGAUAAUUGGGGUGAAGUCGUAACAAGGUAGC
RNAcentral lists this ribosomal RNA (200 nucleotides) under uncultured bacterium. RNAcentral describes it as "partial 16S ribosomal RNA". It matches the Rfam family "Bacterial small subunit ribosomal RNA", at positions 1301 to 1500 of the family's 1533-position model. The record is from RNAcentral.